Molecule: unclassified non-coding RNA, 377 nt
Filed under: plant metagenome
Description: partial contains 5.8S ribosomal RNA, internal transcribed spacer 2, and large subunit ribosomal RNA
Rfam family: 5.8S ribosomal RNA (bases 1-105)
Source: RNAcentral
GAAAUGCGAUAAGUAAUGUGAAUUGCAGAAUUCAGUGAAUCAUCGAAUCUUUGAACGCACCUUGCGCUCCUUGGUAUUCCUUGGAGCAUGCCUGUUUGAGUAUCAUGAAAUCUUCAAAGUAAAUCUUUUGUUAACUCAAUUGGUUUCUACUUUGGUAUUGGAGGUCUUUGCAGCUUCACACCUCUCCUCUUUGUUCAUUAGCUGGAUCUCAGUGUUAUGCUUGGUUCCACUCGGCGUGAUAAGUUAUCUAUCGCUGAGGACACUGUAAAAGGUGGCCAAGGUAAAUGCAGAUGAACCGCUUCUAAUAGUCCAUUGACUUGGACAAUACUUUUAUGAUCUGAUCUCAAAUCAGGUAGGACUACCCGCUGAACUUAAGC